Molecule: ribosomal RNA, 629 nt
Filed under: Enterococcus faecalis
Lineage: Bacteria; Bacillati; Bacillota; Bacilli; Lactobacillales; Enterococcaceae
Description: bacterial SSU rRNA
Rfam family: Bacterial small subunit ribosomal RNA
Source: RNAcentral
AAUAUUGGAAGGCAUCUUUUGAUAUUUAAAGUUCCGGCGGUACGGGAUGGGCAUGCGUAACAUUAGCUAGUUGGUAAGGUAACGGCUUACCAAGGCUUUGAUGUUUAGGGGUCCUGAGAGGGUGGUCCCCCACACUGGUACUGAGACACGGACCAGACUCCUACGGGAGGCAGCAGUGAGGAAUAUUGGUCAAUGGGCGCAAGCCUGAACCAGCCAUCCCGCGUGCAGGAAGACGGCGCUAUGCGUUGUAAACUGCUUUUCCAGGGGGAGAAACUUGCGCACGUGUUGCGCAAUUGACGGUACCCUGGGAAUAAGCAUCGGCUAACUCCGUGCCAGCAGCCGCGGUAAUACGGAGGAUGCGAGCGUUAUCCGGAUUCAUUGGGUUUAAAGGGUGCGUAGGCGGACUAUUAAGUCAGUGGUGAAAUCCUGCAGCUUAACUGCAGAACUGCCAUUGAUACUGAUAGCCUUGAGUUUGGUUAAGGUAGGCGGAAUGUGUAAUGUAGCGGUGAAAUGCUUAGAUAUUACACAGAACACCAAUUGCGUAGGCAGCUUACUGAGCCGACACUGACGCUGAGGCACGAAAGCGUGGGGAUCGAACAGGAUUAGAUACCCUGGUAGUCCACGCCGUA